This 818-nucleotide ribosomal RNA is filed under the name uncultured Actinomycetes bacterium. RNAcentral describes it as "bacterial SSU rRNA". It matches the Rfam family "Bacterial small subunit ribosomal RNA", at positions 69 to 894 of the family's 1533-position model. Lineage: Bacteria; Bacillati; Actinomycetota; Actinomycetes. The record is from RNAcentral.
AGGCUCCUUGCUUGCAAGGGGUACUCGAGUGGCGAACGGGUGAGUAACACGUGGGUGAUCUGCCUUGCACUUCGGGAUAAGCCUGGGAAACUGGGUCUAAUACCGGAUAGGACCAUGCUUUAGUGUGUGUGGUGGAAAGUUUUUUCGGUGCAAGAUGAGCCCGCGGCCUAUCAGCUUGUUGGUGGGGUAAUGGCCUACCAAGGCGACGACGGGUAGCCGGCCUGAGAGGGUGUACGGCCACAUUGGGACUGAGACACGGCCCAGACUCCUACGGGAGGCAGCAGUGGGGAAUAUUGCACAAUGGGCGCAAGCCUGAUGCAGCGACGCCGCGUGGGGGAUGACGGCCUUCGGGUUGUAAACUCCUUUCGCUAGGGAAGAAGCCACUUGUGGUGACGGUAACUGGAUAAGAAGCACCGGCUAACUACGUGCCAGCAGCCGCGGUAAUACGUAGGGUGCGAGCGUUGUCCGGAAUUACUGGGCGUAAAGAGCUCGUAGGUGGUUUGUCGCGUCGUCUGUGAAAUCCCGGGGCUUAACUUCGGGCGUGCAGGCGAUACGGGCAUAACUAGAGUGCUGUAGGGGAGACUGGAAUUCCUGGUGUAGCGGUGAAAUGCGCAGAUAUCAGGAGGAACACCGAUGGCGAAGGCAGGUCUCUGGGCAGUUACUGACGCUGAGGAGCGAAAGCAUGGGUAGCGAACAGGAUUAGAUACCCUGGUAGUCCAUGCCGUAAACGGUGGGCGCUAGGUGUGGGGGUUUUAUUUACGAUUCCCGUGCCGUAGCUAACGCAUUAAGCGCCCCGCCUGGGGAGUACGCCGCAAGGC